RNAcentral lists this long non-coding RNA (506 nucleotides) under Elaeis guineensis (African oil palm). RNAcentral's name for it is "long non-coding RNA (EGUI_LNC026359)". Lineage: Eukaryota; Viridiplantae; Streptophyta; Magnoliopsida; Arecales; Arecaceae. The record is from RNAcentral.
AUAUCUGCUGCCGUAAUUACUCGACUUUGGACUCCGUUAGCAAGAUGAAGCUCCUUUGUUGGUUGUUGGCCGACUCGAUUCAGUCGGAGCUCCAUUUUUUCUUUGUUUUUUUUCUAACCUUUUCUUUCUAUUUGAUGCCAGUCAGUAGCAUCUUCAUCUGUGCGAAUAUAUUUAUACAUGCACUCCAGAAGUUCUGCAUAAGUCUGAGAGCGAGUCUUAUCCAGAGAGGAAAAAAAUUCGGAUCUUCUCAGAUUUUCUUUCAUGGCUGAGAUGGUCAUAUCCUCAUUAAGGUCCCGGAUCUCAAGUGUGGUGGUGUUGAAAUGUGUCACAAAGUCUCUCAAUGUCUCUUCUUCAUCCUGCUUGAUGGAGAAGAGACUGUCGGAUGUUUGUAGCAUCUUUCGGUUGGUGCUAAAAUGGGUCACAAAUGACUGUUCGAGCUGCUCAAAGAAGUUUAUGCUCUCCGAUUGGAGUCCGAAAUAUGAGGCUCGAGCAACCUUCCGAAUGUU